GGAUCAUUAACGCAGAGAACAAAAAAAAAAUUUUUGUUGCUCAGUCUCAGUCUCAGUCUCAGUCAGUCCCACGUCUUGGUCCCGCGGCAGUCGAGCAUGAAGCGCUGCCGCGGGACUGUGUUCGCUAAGUCUUUCGGGGUACCUACCACUGUCCUCGAUGCGACCCACGGUGACGGCUUAGAGCCCGUGUGCUCGCCGGGUCGCGAUGGUUCAAAGAGUGGCCGGCCGCACCCACCGCAUGUCAUGUGCGCGUGUGUGUGUGGCCGGCGACCGCCCCACUCGUGCUCGUCGUCCGACAAAACUGGCAAAAGAACGGGAGGUCUCGUCCGGGGUACCUAUGCCCUGCAAGCGUGCUCGCAUGCAGGGUGGUAGCUCCAGCUCGUCACUUUGGCCGCGAGGUUCAAAGAGUCGGCCGUGCCAUUCACGCUCUCGAUGGCACCGGUCGCCGCCCCGGGCCUCCCACAAUUUUUCCUUUACCAAACACACAAAAUUAAUUUUGUUGAACGCCGAUCAGGUCAGGCCACGACCGGUCGGUGGGUGCAAGUCCGAAAUUGAAAAAGUCUAUAACUUUGAGCGGUGGAUCACUCGGCUCGUGCGUCGAUGA
Molecule: unclassified non-coding RNA, 604 nt
Filed under: Stagnicola corvus
Lineage: Eukaryota; Metazoa; Mollusca; Gastropoda; Lymnaeidae
Description: sequence contains ITS1
Source: RNAcentral